Molecule: ribosomal RNA, 253 nt
Filed under: uncultured bacterium
Lineage: Bacteria
Description: partial 16S ribosomal RNA
Rfam family: Bacterial small subunit ribosomal RNA
Source: RNAcentral
AACGUAGGACACAAGCGUUAUCCGGAGUUACUGGGCGUAAAGGGCGUGUAGGCGGAUGUGUAAGUCUACUCUGAAAGCUUCUGGCUAAACUGGAAGAGGCGAGUGGAGACUGCAAGUCUAGAGUGAGGAAGAGGAAAGUGGAAUUCCGCGUGUAGUGGUGAAAUGCGUAGAGAUGCGGAGGAACACCAGUGGCGAAAGCGGCUUUCUGGUCCUUAACUGACGCUGAGGCGCGAAAGCAUGGGGAGCGAACGGG